AGUGAACGCUGGCGGUAGGCCUAACACAUGCAAGUCGAACGGCAGCACAGUAAGAGCUUGCUCUUACGGGUGGCGAGUGGCGGACGGGUGAGGAAUACAUCGGAAUCUACUUUUUCGUGGGGGAUAACGUAGGGAAACUUACGCUAAUACCGCAUACGACCUACGGGUGAAAGCAGGGGAUCUUCGGACCUUGCGCGAUUGAAUGAGCCGAUGUCGGAUUAGCUAGUUGGCGGGGUAAAGGCCCACCAAGGCGACGAUCCGUAGCUGGUCUGAGAGGAUGAUCGGCCACACUGGAGCUGAGACACGGUCCAGACUCCUACGGGAGGCAGCAGUGGGGAAUGUUGGACAAUGGGCGCAAGCCUGAUCCAGCCAUACCGCGUGGGUGAAGAAGGCCUUCGGGUUGUAAAGCCCUUUUGUUGGGAAAGAAAAGCAGCAGGUUAAUACCCCGCUGUUCUGACGGUACCCAAAGAAUAAGCACCGGCUAACUUCGUG
This 492-nucleotide ribosomal RNA is filed under the name uncultured bacterium. Its description in RNAcentral is "partial 16S ribosomal RNA". It matches the Rfam family "Bacterial small subunit ribosomal RNA", at positions 29 to 507 of the family's 1533-position model. The record is from RNAcentral.